AGUGAACGCUGGCGGUAGGCCUAACACAUGCAAGUCGAACGGCAGCACAGUAAGAGCUUGCUCUUACGGGUGGCGAGUGGCGGACGGGUGAGGAAUACAUCGGAAACUACUUUUUCGUGGGGGAUAACGUAGGGAAACUUACGCUAAUACCGCAUACGACCUACGGGUGAAAGCAGGGGAUCUUCGGACCUUGCGCGAUUGAAUGAGCCGAUGUCGGAUUAGCUAGUUGGCGGGGUAAAGGCCCACCAAGGCGACGAUCCGUAGCUGGUCUGAGAGGAUGAUCAGCCACACUAGAACUGAGACACGGUCCAGACUCCUACGGGAGGCAGCAGUGGGGAAUAUUGGACAAUGGGCGCAAGCCUGAUCCAGCCAUACCGCGUGGGUGAAGAAGGCCUUCGGGUUGUAAAGCCCUUUUGUUGGGAAAGAAAAGCAGCAGGUUAAUACCCCGCUGUUCUGACGGUACCCAAAGAAUAAGCACCGGCUAACUUCGUG
This 492-nucleotide ribosomal RNA is filed under the name uncultured bacterium. RNAcentral describes it as "partial 16S ribosomal RNA". It matches the Rfam family "Bacterial small subunit ribosomal RNA", at positions 29 to 507 of the family's 1533-position model. The record is from RNAcentral.